ACCGGUGCUGAAGGCUCUGAAAUAAAAACCAUAAGAUACAGGGCGUGAGAACUAUUAAAUAAUAGUUCCCAGUGGGCAAUUACUGACUUCAGUGAAAUGCGCCACUAGACCCAAAAGCUGAAAAGGGGGUAAGUACAUGUAUGAAAUGAACCAUAAGCUACUAACAUGAAAGCUUACUAUAACAUGAUAUCUCUACUUAGUAUGAAUUUGCAUAAGUAAUAAAUCUGCUGUAACAUGAAUGUCCAAGAAUACAACUAACAUAAUGUCCACAAGCUAAAUAGUAAAAUGUCAUUAUUUACUAUUCUAGUCAAUGUCCACUCGGUAUACUAAGUCACCAAUGUACCAAUCCUGUAGGACCUACCUGUGGGUAGUCCGGCUUGCGCCGUGCCUAAUGGCCCCGUGGUAGUCAACAUCCCCACUGUAAUAUACCAGAUUUGUAAUAUAAAAGUAGAUGUAAAUAAAAAUAGUGUAAUAUACUAUUUUUAUUGGAUUUAGAGAAGUAAAAUAUAAGUCGAAAAUUACUGGUGCUGAAAUCGGAAUGUAAACAUAUGAUUUAGAAUUUUCUGUAAGGAACGGGACUGAUAUUUUAGCAAAAAAUAUACAGUGUCAGAAAAUUAUGAAAACUGGAGAAUAUCUCAGAAUUAUUUUUAUGAGGUUAGAUUUAAAGUUUCAUGUCAUUCUGACACUUGGAAAGUGAAAAAUAAGCUAUCUGUUAGAAUGUUAGUCGGUAGAGCUUUCGGUGACCAAAAAUGGUCGAAACUGAAAAAUUAAAAUUUUUUUGUUCUUAUUAAGUUAAACCGAGCCUGACUGUCAAAUUUGAGUGAAAACGAACAUUCAGAAGGGCUCCGGCGAAAAGUAUCAGAUUCUGAAUUAGAAACAGAUUUAAUUAAGGCUAUUGUGAGGGGUGUUAUUGUAAUUGUUACAUUACUUAGUGGA
RNAcentral lists this long non-coding RNA (936 nucleotides) under Ananas comosus (pineapple). RNAcentral describes it as "long non-coding RNA (ACOM_LNC017613)". The record is from RNAcentral. Lineage: Eukaryota; Viridiplantae; Streptophyta; Magnoliopsida; Poales; Bromeliaceae.